GACGAACGCUGGCGGCGUGCUUAACACAUGCAAGUCGAACGGAAAGGCCCUGCUUUUGUGGGGUGCUCGAGUGGCGAACGGGUGAGUAACACGUGAGUAACCUGCCCUUGACUUUGGGAUAACUUCAGGAAACUGGGGCUAAUACCGGAUAGGAGCUCCUGCUGCAUGGUGGGGGUUGGAAAGUUUCGGCGGUUGGGGAUGGACUCGCGGCUUAUCAGCUUGUUGGUGGGGUAGUGGCUUACCAAGGCUUUGACGGGUAGCCGGCCUGAGAGGGUGACCGGCCACAUUGGGACUGAGGUACGGCCCAGACUCCUACGGGAGGCAGCAGUGGGGAAUAUUGCACAGUGGGCGGGAGCGUGAUGCAGCAACGCCGCGUGCGGGAUGACGGCCUUCGGGUUGUAAACCGCUUUCGCCUGUGACGAAGCGUGAGUGACGGUAAUGGGUAAAGAAGCACCGGCUAACUACGUG
RNAcentral lists this ribosomal RNA (468 nucleotides) under uncultured bacterium. RNAcentral's name for it is "partial 16S ribosomal RNA". It matches the Rfam family "Bacterial small subunit ribosomal RNA", at positions 28 to 507 of the family's 1533-position model. The record is from RNAcentral.